UAAUGAAAAUCAUACGAUGAA
RNAcentral lists this non-coding RNA (21 nucleotides) under Caenorhabditis elegans. Lineage: Eukaryota; Metazoa; Nematoda; Chromadorea; Rhabditida; Rhabditidae. The record is from RNAcentral.